GAAUGGAAUCUGCUGUCCAUGGACUGAGACCUCAAAAACUUUUCUCUCAAGGUGGGUCUUUCCCCUGCUGAGACCUCCACCAGACUGGAGAUAAAGAAGCAAUGGGAUCACAGGAACAGCAUCAACCUGCGUGUUUAGGCUGUAUGAUCUCACACUCCAGGCAGAAGUUUAUUGGAAGAAUGGACACCUGACACAAAUUGGGCUAAUCAGCUAUUCUGUUCAAGAAUCUUCAGGAAAAAAACUCUCCAUAUAGAUGGAAGAACUCAGGAAGUGAACUCAGGAACUGAACUAAUUUUUGUGCCCUACAUGCGUUGAGAGGCAAAGGAGCUUAGUCUAUAGAGAAAUUUACUUAUUGAAGUUGUCUGAAUUUGGAAUGGCUUUUUGGUCUUGGGUUCCAGUCUCUCCUGAGCACCAGGUAAAUUCUUGUGCUCAGGUCUUAUGAGAUAACUCUGUUUUCUUACAAUAAAUACCACACACCCCCACCACCACAUACACACACCACACUAAUUUUUUUUGUUGUUGUUGAUUUAAGCAUAUUCAAGUUAUUUUGUUACUUGUAGCCAGAGUAUUAACAAAUACAAUACCUAAUGCAUAUAAUCCUAAUUCCCAUUUACCACAUAUGAAUUACUGUGUGCAAAGUUCAUGUGAAUUGUCUUGUUUAAUCCUCUCAACUCUACUAAAAAAUUGUUUUCUCGUGAUUCAGAUCCUUCUUGACUUAAGUGUUUCUUCCAAUAAAUCUAAGUGCCUCUCAACUUUUUUUUUUCUGAGUGUCCCCAAAGGGAUGUCUCACAGUUUUUCAUAAACCAGUGUCAGACUCCGCCAUCAUGCAA
Marmota flaviventris (yellow-bellied marmot) is the source of this 830-nucleotide non-coding RNA. Lineage: Eukaryota; Metazoa; Chordata; Mammalia; Rodentia; Sciuridae. The record is from RefSeq and is a predicted model, not a curated record.